RNAcentral lists this ribosomal RNA (503 nucleotides) under uncultured bacterium. RNAcentral's name for it is "partial 16S ribosomal RNA". It matches the Rfam family "Bacterial small subunit ribosomal RNA", at positions 30 to 523 of the family's 1533-position model. The record is from RNAcentral.
AUUGAACGCUGGCGGCAGGCUUAACACAUGCAAGUCGAGCGGAGUGAUGGUGCUUGCACUAUCACUUAGCGGCGGACGGGUGAGUAAUGCUUAGGAAUCUGCCUAUUAGUGGGGGACAACAUCUCGAAAGGGAUGCUAAUACCGCAUACGCCCUACGGGAGAAAGCAGGGGAUCACUUGUGACCUUGCGCUAAUAGAUGGGCCUAAGUCGGAUUAGCUAGUUGGUGGGGUAAAGGCCUACCAAGGCGACGAUCUGUAGCGGGUCUGAGAGGAUGAUCCGCCAAACUGGGACUGAGACACGGCCCAGACUCCUACGGGAGGCAGCAGGGGGGAAUAUUGGACAAUGGGGGGAACCCUGAUCCAGCCAUGCCGCGUGUGUGAAGAAGGCCUUAUGGUUGUAAAGCACUUUAAGCGAGGAGGAGGCUUACCUAGUUAAUACCUGGGAUAAGUGGACGUUACUCGCAGAAUAAGCACCGGCUAACUCUGUGCCAGCAGCCGCCGUAA